CCUACGGGGGGCAGCAGUGAGGAAUAUUGGUCAAUGGGCUUACGCCUGAACCAGCCAAGUCGCGUGAGGGAAGACUGCCCUAUGGGUUGUAAACCUCUUUUGUCAGGGAGCAACGCCGGCUACGUGUAGCCGGACUGAGAGUACCUGAAGAAAAAGCAUCGGCAAACCCCGUGCCAGCAGCCGCGGUAAUACGGGGGAUGCGAGCGUUAUCCGGAUUUAGUGGGUUUAAAGGGUGCGUAGGCGGAAUGCCAAGUCAGCGGGAAAAUCGCGGGGCUCAACCUCGCCCCGCCGUUGAAACUGGCGUUCUUGAGUGGGCGAGAAGUAUGCGGAAUGCGCGGUGUAGCGGUGAAAUGCAUAGAUAUCACGCAGAACCCCGAUUGCGAAGGCAGCAUGCCGGCUUCCGACUGACGCUGAAGCACGAAAGCGUGGGGAUCGAACAGGAUUAGAUACCCCGGUAGUC
RNAcentral lists this ribosomal RNA (460 nucleotides) under uncultured bacterium. RNAcentral's name for it is "partial 16S ribosomal RNA". It matches the Rfam family "Bacterial small subunit ribosomal RNA", at positions 338 to 795 of the family's 1533-position model. The record is from RNAcentral.